CAACAUUUUUUAUCGAGAAUUCACGACCCGGCCGGGAGAAUGAACAUUUUUUUCCGUCUAGGUUUGGAACUUCUACCUGGAAUAAAGAUAAAAUCAAAUUUAAUAGUUAUUCCAUGAAUAAGGUCUAACCGAAGCUAAGCCGAAUAUUGAAAAAUAGGACAUUCAUAAUAGAAUAUUGAAUACAGCCUAUACAAAAUUCUCUCAAAAAUGUUCGAAAGAGAGGUGUGGAGAGUGGACUUCUCCAAAUAAACUGGUAUAAUUUAAAAUUGCAGAAGCCUUCUGGAUGCAGAGUUUAUCGACGAAUUAUGUAACAGGACUGAAUAGAAAAAGGGGCGAUUCCAUUAUUGCAGGUGCGUUGGCACAAUUCUACUGUUUUGAAGUUUAUUUAUAAAAACACAAUAGGUACAACACAACAUUUAAAUAAAAUUGUUA
Molecule: long non-coding RNA, 432 nt
Organism: Episyrphus balteatus (marmalade hoverfly)
Lineage: Eukaryota; Metazoa; Arthropoda; Insecta; Diptera; Syrphidae
Exons: 3
Source: RefSeq, a predicted model, not a curated record